GAGGUUAUAGCUCAGUGGUAAAGUGCAUGCUUAGCAUGCACGAGGCACUGGGUUCUAUCCCCAGUACCUCCU
Molecule: non-coding RNA, 72 nt
Organism: Camelus ferus (Wild Bactrian camel)
Lineage: Eukaryota; Metazoa; Chordata; Mammalia; Artiodactyla; Camelidae
Source: Rfam